This is a long non-coding RNA of Solanum lycopersicum (tomato), 1344 nucleotides long. RefSeq lists it as uncharacterized. The record is from RefSeq and is a predicted model, not a curated record. Lineage: Eukaryota; Viridiplantae; Streptophyta; Magnoliopsida; Solanales; Solanaceae.
UCAGAAAGUGUUGAUAGACCAAAAUUGAAUUCCUUUUCCAUGGAUCCCAGUCCAUACCUAAGAAUCCGACCCAAACUUUCUUCUUCAACAAAAAACAAACCGUGUCCAGAAGCAACGACAACGUGCCUGAGCAACACCACCGAUGUCUGGACGCGCCUCAUGCGAGGGUGAGUUCACAAGGGCAGCAACAAUAUCUCCAAACGAUGCCUUUUCCGUCAAAAUACACCAAAAAGAAGAUGUGUUUCUCUUUUCCGUGUUGACGUCUUCCUCACCAGUACACUUAUAUAGUAGAUCAGUUUGCUUUUCAAUCCUUCCAGCUAUGUCUGGUUGUCCUUGCUCGCUUGGAGAUAAAGCCACAUAGCACUCAUGGAUGAUCGAUCGAUCCAAGCUCUCGACGCUGCCCCUGUUGUCUGAAUUUUGUGCGGGUUUGGUUUUAAUUCUCGUACAAUCUAGCUGUUCCUUCAUCCUUGGAAAAUUUGAAUUGAGAAUUGAUUCUAGGGUUUCAAUUCUGCCCUUGUUCUCACCCAAAAUAUACCUUUUCCCCCCAAAAGGUAAAACCUAAGAUUCCCACUAUAUAUACGUCUUUUCUUUUCAUCUAAAGGGUGGGACUUUUUUAGUCGAAAAUUUUAGAGAAAUAUUAAUAGAUACUUCAAGCAAAGACUAAGCAAGUAAAAUAUAGUGAGACGUUCAAAGCGGAAAACUUAGUUUUGGUCGGAGUAUCACACUUUUUAUUUUGUUUUGAAUCUGUUUCUCUCAACUUCCUCCGUGUCUGAGGUUUUGCACAGAAUUCUGGUUGAUCGUAUGUGUUCGAGUUUCCAUUUGUUUGUAAAAGUUGUUGUUCAUCCUAGCUCAUUACUGUCUCCAAUUCGCUGCCCGGAAAGAGAUUGGGUCACAAAAUCCCAAUAGCGUUAUCUCUUGAGUCAGUCGGUCAGUCGAAACAAGGAACAGGUCUCCAAAAGUCGAUGCAUAGGUUCAUUUAGUUAAACAUGUACUUCAGUUGAAUUUAAUGUUGACGCACAAUUGUUUGUUGUGAAAUGCACGUGAUCGGUGGUGGAAUCCUAUUCGGACUCAAAUACUUCUUCAUAGGCAUCUAGAUUUGGCCACAGAAGCCUAUUAAUAAUGUCUCUUGCGUCAGCCGAUUAAUGGAAACGAGAAACAGAUCCCCAAGAGUUGAUGCAUAGAAGAAUCAGAUGAGAAUUGGAAAUCUUAUCAAAUUUGUAUUUUUGUUAUUUUGGGGUCUAAGCCCUUGUCUUUUGCUUUUAUCAUUACCAUGUUAAAAUUUUAGGAAAAGUGGAAGAUGGUCCUAAGGCCCAAAGAGAUAAAUUUCAAAAUUUUAACUUGGAA